Mustela erminea (ermine) is the source of this 1539-nucleotide long non-coding RNA. RefSeq lists it as uncharacterized. NCBI's taxonomy places the organism in Eukaryota, Metazoa, Chordata, Mammalia, Carnivora, Mustelidae. The transcript is spliced from 3 exons. The record is from RefSeq and is a predicted model, not a curated record.
GUAGAGAUUGGAGAAUGCCCCACCCUCCUUCUCCCUGCUGGGGGCCAUCUGAACUGUGAAACAGUGCAAGGACACUAUGUGACGCCCUGCGGUGGGGUGCGGAAGCUGCUCCAUGUAGCUUAGGAUAAGAAGGCAGAGAGGUUUCCAAUGAACACGGCGCAUUGAAGAAUAUAGGCUGUCUGCCAUCCACUAAAUCUGGUUUGAUUUCUCCAUUCAACUGCUGUCUGUCUCUUUAGAGCAAAGCCCAAAUAACAAAGUAGUCUGCAAGCAGGUGACCUCUCUCUCAGCUACUUUCCGAGGUAAGAGUCCUGGUAAUGCUUUCCAGCUCUGUAGACACCGCGAUGCACUUUCCCCAGUUGUUCUGCCUGUGACCCAGUGACCAUUCUCUGAACGUCCUGUUGGAAGAAAUCAGUCGUCUUCUCAGCUGUGGUGUCCCCAAGUCCUGCAUGUGUCAACUUUCUAUAUCCUGAGGCUGUCGUAAGAAACCAGGAAAAGAGACCAGGAAAUCUCGUUUGUCUCUGGAAAUCUUACAACGGACCAUUGCAUUUCCUUUAGCUCUUUGACUCAUGCUGGCCAGAAGUGUGCUCCCACUCUUGCAGGAAGAAAACACGAAGGACCAGCAAUACUUCUCUUCAGCCGGCAGAGGGAAGAGAAGAACAGAAUUUCACAGAUCUAGGGAUGCACUGCUUAUCCUCACAGACAAAAACCCAAAAUGAACUCCUUAUUUUCCUUCAUUUCUUUAAAAAAAUAGACCCAGAAAAAUAACAUUUUUGAAGAAAGACAUUUCCCAGGGCUUAUGCUAUCGGAACAAAUGGAUCUAAUUCAGGACUUGAUAUUUCUGAUGUAAAGACUUCCAGACAGACCCAAACUGGGUCUGAGAGGAGGGGCCAAUGUGUGUGGCCAAGGUUCAAAUGUGAGUCAAUUUGUAGAUGGAUUCAGAGUUCAUAGCUCUCAGGAAGAACAAGAUUUGUGCAUUUUGUGAUCGCUGUUUGUUUUUAAUGAAUAUUCCAGUCACGUUCCAGUAAUUCAAAAUAAGAUGCUCUAGAUUUCCUCUAACACUCCUGCCCCUGAAACUUAGAAAGAAAAUCACAUAGGCUUUAUUAAAAGCAACCCAAUGCCAGUACUUGUUUUAAAACUGCCUGCCUAAAACACGGCCCCACUCGAUUACAAUUGCCUCUUUGCUGAAGCAAAACACACACUGCACUUAGAGUCCACUUCAGCCUGAACCCCUUCUGAAAGGAAAGGGAGAGCCCAGUAGUGGGGAAUGGAAUGUAAUUCACGAUUCAGCCUUUCUAUAAGCCCUGACACUCCCAUUAGGUUUAAAUGGAAUCACACAGGGAAUGUUCCACAAGCUGUUGUUACCAGGGAAAAGGGAUUUGAAGAUGCCUGCCUUCUAGCAGAGGCCCCGGAGUCCAGACCUGCAGAGAGGACAGACAUUCCUCGAUGUCUCCCUUGCCCUUUUCAUCCCUUCCCUUUUUCCAGUUUAUAUGUUUCCACGACCCCAAAUGGAUGGCAGUGUCUUCUUCCUCACCAUUACAA